GAUGAACGCUGGCGGCGUGCUUAACACAUGCAAGUCGAACGGAAAGGCCCUGCUUUUGUGGGGUGCUCGAGUGGCGAACGGGUGAGUAACACGUGAGUAACCUGCACUUGACUUUGGGAUAACUUCAGGAAACUGGGGCUAAUACCGGAUAGGAGCUCCUGCUGCAUGGUGGGGGUUGGAAAGUUUCGGCGGUUGGGGAUGGACUCGCGGCUUAUCAGCUUGUUGGUGGGGUAGUGGCUUACCAAGGCUUUGACGGGUAGCCGGCCUGAGAGGGUGACCGGCCACAAGGGGACUGAGAUACGGACCAGACUCCUACGGGAGGCAGCAGUGGGGAAUAUUGCACAAUGGGCGGAAGCCUGAUGCAGCAACGCCGCGUGCGGGAUGACGGCCUUCGGGUUGUAAACCGCUUUGGCCGGUGACGUAGCGUGAGUGACGGUAAUGGAUAAAGAAGCACCGGCUAACUACGUG
Molecule: ribosomal RNA, 468 nt
Filed under: uncultured bacterium
Lineage: Bacteria
Description: partial 16S ribosomal RNA
Rfam family: Bacterial small subunit ribosomal RNA
Source: RNAcentral